GCCCACGUAGUUCAGCAGGAUAGAACGUCGCCCUCCUAAGGCGGAUGUCGCAGGUUCGAAUCCUGCCGUGGGUA
Molecule: transfer RNA, 74 nt
Filed under: Candidatus Melainabacteria bacterium GWF2_37_15
Lineage: Bacteria; Bacillati; Candidatus Melainabacteria
Description: tRNA-Arg
Rfam family: tRNA
About the family: Transfer RNA (tRNA) molecules are approximately 80 nucleotides in length. Their secondary structure includes four short double-helical elements and three loops (D, anti-codon, and T loops).
Source: RNAcentral